CGCUCCUUGUUUUACCAAAUAUAAGGAGUAGGACCUGCCCGGUGAGAUUUUUAACGGCCGCGGUACUCUGACCGUGCAAAGGUAGCAUAAUCAUUUGCCUUAUAAUUGAAGGCUUGUAUGAAUGGUUUGACGAAAUCGAUACUGUCUCUUUUUUACUUUGUAGAAUUUGACUUAAGGGUGAAGAGGCCCUUAUCUUACUGAAGGACAAGAAGACCCUGUCGAGCUUAAAGAAUAGGUGGAGAAUUAAUAUAAAACUAAAUAAAUAGAUUACUAGAUAAUUCUUUUGGUUGGGGCGACUAAGGAACAGAAAAAGCUUCCUUUAUUCUCUAUAUCUUACAGGUUAAAGAUCCAGCUAUGCUGAUUGUAGAAAUUAGUUACCGCAGGGAUAACAGCAUAAUCUCUCUUAAGAGACCAUAUCGAAAGGGGGGGUUGUGACCUCGAUGUUGGACUAGGAUAUCCUAAAGAUGUAGAAGUCUUUGAGGGUUGGUCUGUUCGACCAUUAAAAUCCU
This 509-nucleotide ribosomal RNA is filed under the name Supplanaxis nancyae. RNAcentral describes it as "partial 16S ribosomal RNA". It matches the Rfam family "Bacterial large subunit ribosomal RNA", at positions 1817 to 2597 of the family's 2925-position model. Lineage: Eukaryota; Metazoa; Mollusca; Gastropoda; Planaxidae. The record is from RNAcentral.